This 161-nucleotide ribosomal RNA is filed under the name uncultured bacterium. Its description in RNAcentral is "partial 16S rRNA". It matches the Rfam family "Bacterial small subunit ribosomal RNA", at positions 358 to 511 of the family's 1533-position model. The record is from RNAcentral.
GGAAUCUUCCACAAUGGACGAAAGUCUGAUGGAGCAACGCCGCGUGAGUGAAGAAGGUUUUCGGAUCGUAAAGCUCUGUUGUUGGUGGAGAAGGAUAGAGGCAGUAACUGGUCUUUAUUUGACGGUAAUCAACCAGAAAGUCACGGCUAACUACGUGCCAG